This 30-nucleotide non-coding RNA is filed under the name Cricetulus griseus (Chinese hamster). Lineage: Eukaryota; Metazoa; Chordata; Mammalia; Rodentia; Cricetidae. The record is from RNAcentral.
AACAAAGGGACAAAGACAACAGAAGGAUAA